GGUCGAUAUGUGAACUACCCACACCUGGACAAAAGAACCCUAUAACGUUUCAUUGUUCCCUGGGAUUGGCUUUGGGCUUUUCUUGCACGCCUUAGGUGGGAGGUGAGGAAUGCCUUCUUCCGAGGGGGACAAGCCAUCAAUUCGAUAUCACUCUGAAAGGGCUAGAAUGCUAACCUUAUGUUAACCUAAAAUGUUAAACCCUAAACCCUAAACCUAUAAGCUAAGGGAUAGUCUCAUGUAAAUAAUUUUUAUUGGGUGUAGGCCUCCCAAAGGUAACGGGGGUGUGCAAAGGUUUCCUCGGGCUAGACGGAGAUUAGCCCUCGAGUGCAAAGGCAAAAUGGAGCUUGAUUGCAAGACCUAUCGAUCGAGCAAGGAAAAACUUGACCUUAGUGAUCCGACAGUGUCAAAUGGAUGGGUCUUUGCUCAAUGGAUAAAAGUUACUUUAGGGAUAAUAGGCUAAUCUUCCCUAAGAGCCUACAUCGACGGGAAAGUUUGACACCUCGAUGUUGGCAUUUCGCCAGCUGAGACUAUAGUAUGUUCCAAGGGUUAGGUUGUUCGCCCAUUAAAGUGGUACAUGAGCUAGGUUCAGAACAUCGUGAGACAAUUUGGUCCAUAUCCGGUGUGGCAUUAAAGCAUUGAGAGAACCUUUCCCUAAUACGAAAAAACUGGGAAUGAUGCACCUCUGGUACCAGAUCAACCCUUUAAGGGCAUGGGUUCAAACCCCACCAAGGCCAAAUGAUAUUUCCUUAGUGUAACACCCCAAAAUAAGGCCUAGGAGUUUUAGAGGUAUUUUAGGAAUUUUAUUCUUAGAGUGUUCAAAAUUUUAUGACAUGGUAUAUAAAUUUUUUUAAUACGAUUUUUAGAAAAUUAAAUUAAUUUUUGAAAAAUAAGUUUUA
Non-coding RNA from Gossypium hirsutum (cotton), 896 nucleotides. Lineage: Eukaryota; Viridiplantae; Streptophyta; Magnoliopsida; Malvales; Malvaceae. The record is from Rfam.